This 273-nucleotide ribosomal RNA is filed under the name uncultured bacterium. RNAcentral's name for it is "partial 16S ribosomal RNA". It matches the Rfam family "Bacterial small subunit ribosomal RNA", at positions 524 to 796 of the family's 1533-position model. The record is from RNAcentral.
UACUACGGGUGCAAGCGUUAAUCGGAAUUACUGGGCGUAAAGCGCGCGUAGGUGGUUCGUUAAGUUGGAUGUGAAAGCCCCGGGCUCAACCUGGGAACUGCAUCCAAAACUGGCGAGCUAGAGUAUGGCAGAGGGUGGUGGAAUUUCCUGUGUAGCGGUGAAAUGCGUAGAUAUAGGAAGGAACACCAGUGGCGAAGGCGACCACCUGGGAUAAUAAUGAAACUGAGGUGCGACCGCGUGGGGAGCACACAGGAUUAGAUACCACGGUAGUCC